CCUACGGGUGGCAGCAGUGGGGAAUAUUGGUCAAUGGGCGCAAGCCUGACCCAGCAAUGCCGCGUGAAGGCAGAAGGCCUUCGGGUUGUAAACUUCUUUUACAGGGGAAGAGCAGAAGACGGUACCCUGAAAACAAGCCACGGCUAACUACGUGCCAGCAGCCGCGGUAAUACGUAGGUGGCAAGCGUUCUCCGGAUUUACUGGGUGUAAAGGGCGUGUAGGCGGGAAGGCAAGUCAGAUGUGAAAUCUGGAGGCUCAACCUCCAGCCUGCAUUUGAAACUGUUUUUCUUGAGUACCGGAGAGGCAGGCGGAAUGCCUGGUGUAGCGGUGAAAUGCGUAGAUAUAAGGAGGAACACCAGUGGCGAAGGCGGUCGGCUGGACAGCAACUGACGGUGAGGCGCGAAAGCGUGGGGAGCAAACAGGAUUAGAUACCCAUGUAGUC
RNAcentral lists this ribosomal RNA (442 nucleotides) under uncultured bacterium. RNAcentral describes it as "partial 16S ribosomal RNA". It matches the Rfam family "Bacterial small subunit ribosomal RNA", at positions 338 to 795 of the family's 1533-position model. The record is from RNAcentral.